GUGAACGAGCGACGCCGCGUGCAGGAUGAAGGCCUUCGGGUUGUAAACUCCUGUCGAGGGGGAAGAAGGUCCGCAAGGGCUUGACUGAUCCCUGGAGGAAGCACGGGCUAAGUUCGUGCCAGCAGCCGCGGUAAGACGAACCGUGCGAACGUUAUUCGGAAUCACUGGGCUUAAAGCGCGUGUAGGUGGGGCGGCACGUCGGUCGCUGAAAUCCCCCGGCUUAACCGGGGAACGGGCGCCGAUACGACCGUCCUUGAGGGGCGUAGGGGGGGCUGGAACUUCCGGUGGAGCGGUGAAAUGCGUUGAGAUCGGAAGGAACGCCCGUGGCGAAAGCGAGCCCCUGGACGUCAUCUGACACUGAGACGCGAAAGCCAGGGGAGCGAACGGGAUUAGAUACCCCGGUAGUCCUGGCCGUAAACGAU
RNAcentral lists this ribosomal RNA (422 nucleotides) under uncultured anaerobic ammonium-oxidizing bacterium. RNAcentral describes it as "bacterial SSU rRNA". It matches the Rfam family "Bacterial small subunit ribosomal RNA", at positions 383 to 810 of the family's 1533-position model. The record is from RNAcentral.